Molecule: long non-coding RNA, 858 nt
Organism: Drosophila ananassae
Lineage: Eukaryota; Metazoa; Arthropoda; Insecta; Diptera; Drosophilidae
Exons: 2
Source: RefSeq, a predicted model, not a curated record
UGUGAGUGUGUGUGUUUGUUCCUUUUGAAGUGCACAGCAUGUUAAAUUCGUAAAAUUCAUUAAGAUUCCGUUGCCGAUGCCAACCAGCGACUGGCAACAACGACAACGUUGCUGAUGUCGAAAAGUGCCAAGAGCAGAGCCAACAAGCGGCAACCGAACGACCCACAAGACCAGAGAUGCCAGCAGCAACAGCAACAGCAACACCAACAGCAAAAGCUAUAAGUUUGUUUGCUUUUGUUGUUGCUUCUUCUGGAUGGUCGUGCUUCGUAAAAAGCAUUUGAAACAAACUCAAUUAUGCCCGGUGCAGUGCACACAGCCAACAACCAACAACCGACAUUCAGCAUCCAACUAUGGAGGAGUCUUUUCUGCCUCCUCUGGGCGCCCCUUCUUUUCGGUUUCAGUUUGCACUUCACGUGGAAGCACGCGGCUCGGAAAUCUCUGAAUUAAAUCUGCCCAGAAAUACAUUAUUCGAAGCGAUAGCGAAGCGAACGGAACGGCCUAAAACCCUCGGCCAGAUUGAAAAUUGGACUCCCUAGCAAUUCCUUCUCUCUGCUUUCAACUGCCUGGCUGUGUAAUUCCAUUUGACAUUCAAUUUUACCUGCUAACAAGCAUUUCCUGGCCACAACCGAGGCGAACUGAACUAAACUGGAUUGAAAAGGAGAGAUACGGCCAAAGGAGGGACUCGUACCUCGAACCUCGGACCUGGGCUAUUCCCCGGUGAUUUCUAGCGCAUCUCAUAAAUUCCAAUUCGUUUGAUUUAUAAAAAUGAACAACGCCCCGAAAAAAUAAGCGAGGAAGCCUAAUAAAUAUUCAUGUUCGCCUCGAACCGGCAAACUAUUGAUUAAAAAAAAAAUAAAA